CUCGUAGGCGGUUCGUCGCGUCCGGUGUGAAAGUCCAUCGCUUAACGGUGGAUCUGCGCCGGGUACGGGCGGGCUGGAGUGCGGUAGGGGAGACUGGAAUUCCCGGUGUAACGGUGGAAUGUGUAGAUAUCGGGAAGAACACCAAUGGCGAAGGCAGGUCUCUGGGCCGUUACUGACGCUGAGGAGCGAAAGCCAGGGUAGCGAACG
This 207-nucleotide ribosomal RNA is filed under the name uncultured bacterium. RNAcentral's name for it is "partial 16S ribosomal RNA". It matches the Rfam family "Bacterial small subunit ribosomal RNA", at positions 568 to 774 of the family's 1533-position model. The record is from RNAcentral.